UACGAACCGUCCAAACGUUAUUCGGAAUCACUGGGCUUACAGAGUUCGUAGGCGGCGGAGAAAGUAGGGUGUGAAAGCCCUCGGCUCAACCGAGGAAUUGCGCCCUAAACUACUUCGCUUGAGGAGGCUAGAGGUGAGCAGAACAGAUGGUGGAGCGGUGAAAUGCGUUGAUAUCAUCUGGAAUACCGGAGGCGAAGGCGGCUCACUGGGACCUUUCUGACGCUGAGGAACGAAAGCUAGGGUAGCGAACGGGAUAGAAACCCCAGUAGUCC
Molecule: ribosomal RNA, 272 nt
Filed under: uncultured bacterium
Lineage: Bacteria
Description: partial 16S ribosomal RNA
Rfam family: Bacterial small subunit ribosomal RNA
Source: RNAcentral